This 72-nucleotide transfer RNA is filed under the name Felis catus (domestic cat). It matches the Rfam family "tRNA". Rfam says of the family: Transfer RNA (tRNA) molecules are approximately 80 nucleotides in length. Their secondary structure includes four short double-helical elements and three loops (D, anti-codon, and T loops). The record is from Rfam by way of RNAcentral. Lineage: Eukaryota; Metazoa; Chordata; Mammalia; Carnivora; Felidae.
GCCUGGCUGGCUCAGUCAUUGGAGCAUGAGACUCUUGAUCUCAAGGUCUUGAGUUCGAGCCCCAGUUGGGUA